RNAcentral lists this ribosomal RNA (253 nucleotides) under uncultured bacterium. RNAcentral's name for it is "partial 16S ribosomal RNA". It matches the Rfam family "Bacterial small subunit ribosomal RNA", at positions 524 to 776 of the family's 1533-position model. The record is from RNAcentral.
UACGGAGGGGGCUAGCGUUGUUCGGAAUUACUGGGCGUAAAGCGCGCGUAGGCGGAUCUGCAAGUCGGGGGUGAAAUCCCGAGGCUCAACCUCGGAACUGCCUUCGAUACUGCGGGUCUCGAGUCCGGGAGAGGUGAGUGGAAUUCCUAGUGUAGAGGUGAAAUUCGUAGAUAUUCGGAGGAACACCAGUGGCGAAGGCGGCUCACUGGUCCGGUACUGACGCUGAGGUGCGAAAGCGUGGGGAGCAAACAGG